ACAGCUUUGGACAAAGUCUAUAGCCAGUGCAUUUGAAACUCCCCUUGCACAAGGGCUGACUGUUAGCUGGGGAGAGACAGUUUACUCCUUUGCGCUCCUUUCAUGCAGUCAGCUGGCCCUCUUCUCAGGUGUAGAUCACCUAUUAUCAUUUCACCUGUUUUGAUUCUCUGAUGAGGAAAAUCCCAGGACUUAUCAGCUGGGCUAGGCCUCAUUUCAAAGACAGCUCU
RNAcentral lists this long non-coding RNA (227 nucleotides) under Ursus americanus (American black bear). RNAcentral describes it as "SOX2 overlapping transcript exon 1 (ENSUAMG00000004320.1)". It matches the Rfam family "SOX2 overlapping transcript exon 1". Rfam says of the family: SOX2 overlapping transcript (SOX2OT) is a long non-coding RNA, containing at least 5 exons. The SOX2 gene, an important regulator of neurogenesis, lies within one of the introns of SOX2OT. Lineage: Eukaryota; Metazoa; Chordata; Mammalia; Carnivora; Ursidae. The record is from RNAcentral.